Molecule: unclassified non-coding RNA, 157 nt
Filed under: uncultured Teratosphaeria
Lineage: Eukaryota; Fungi; Ascomycota; Dothideomycetes; Mycosphaerellales; Teratosphaeriaceae
Description: sequence contains ITS2
Source: RNAcentral
AAACCCUCAAGCCUCGCUUGGUAUUGGGCGCCGGGGACUCCCCGCGCCUCCAUUUCGCCGGCUGGCCGUCGUUUGACUUAGCGUUGUGACACAUGUCGCUAACGACACCGACGGACCGCGCCGUGAAAACUCUCUUGGGUGUCUAACAUCCAGUACA